GGAUGCCUCAAUAUAAAUUCAAUGCUCUCUGUAAUAACUUCCACGACUUCAAUCAACUACAACCACUCUAAUAAUCUCCUCUUAUUCUUUAUUCCCGCACAAAUCUCAAACGGGAAGCUUCUCUUCUUUUUCUGUCCCAGAUGGCGAUUACUUCAUGGUGUUAUCUUCUCCUGCUUGUCUUCUCUUUAGGCAACCUAGCCAAUGCUACUGUUUUCACUCUCCAAAAUCUUUGCAGCUACACGAUAUGGCCUGGAACUCUCUCUGGAAACGGUGCUGCGACUCUCGGCGGCGGUGGUUUUGUAUUGUCACCUGGUUCAUCAAUCCAGCUCCAGGCUCCACCCAGUUGGUCCGGCAGGUUCUGGGCUCGGACUGGUUGCAAAUUUGAUGAUUCAGGGGCUGGUAAGUGCGUCACCGGUGACUGUGGCGGCAUAUUAAAGUGCACAGGAGGUGGAGCUCCGCCAGUGACCCUCGCGGAGUUCACUAUUGCCGCGAAUCAUAAUGACAAGGAUUUCUACGACGUUAGCCUGGUAGACGGAUACAACAUUGGCUUAGGUGUGAAGGCACUGGGUGGCUCCGGUGAUUGCCAAUACGCAGGUUGUCAGGAGGAUCUUAAUGGGAACUGCCCAGCAGAAUUACAGGUGGUUGAUUCGGGUUCGGUUGUUGCCUGCAAGAGUGCUUGUGAAGCGUUUAAUGCACCGCAGUUUUGUUGCACCGGCGACCAUUCGACACCGCAGUCUUGCUCACCGACCCAGUACUCGGCGUUGUUCAAGAAUGCAUGCCCGACGGCCUACAGUUAUGCUUAUGAUGAUGCAUCAAGUACUUGCACUUGCUCCGGGUCGGAUUACUUGAUCACAUUUUGUUCCAAGGGGUCUGGAUAGUCUCAUCUGACGCUCCAUGGUUUGGUUUGUUGUGGCCUUGUUGGGUAAUUGUGAAUGAUAGUUUCAUUUGAUUUACAGAGUAGUUAAACCAUACAUGGAAUUAUUAAGGGUGUAUGUUAUUAAUGACAAGUUAAUUAAUGGAUUAUGCUUUAUUAAACUUGAAAAUUCCUGCCUAAUCCAUUGUGAACUCAGUGUACAGACAUGUCUUGGUGGACGAGUAUAGGCAAGAAAAUCCGUUUGGGAGAUUAAUUUAUGUGGU
RNAcentral lists this unclassified non-coding RNA (1137 nucleotides) under Hevea brasiliensis (rubber tree). The record is from RNAcentral. Lineage: Eukaryota; Viridiplantae; Streptophyta; Magnoliopsida; Malpighiales; Euphorbiaceae.